GAUGAACGCUGGCGGCGUGCCUAACACAUGCAAGUCGAACGGAGAUUACGGACGGAAGUUUUCGGAUGGAAGACUGUAAUUCUUAGUGGCGGACGGGUGAGUAACGCGUGGGCAACCUGCCCUAUACAGGGGGAUAGCAGCUGGAAACGGCUGGUAAGACCGCAUAAGUCGGUUAAAUCGCAUGAUUUGAUCGGGAAAUGAGCAAACAGGUAUAGGAUGGGCCCGCGUCCGAUUAGCCAGUUGGCAGGGUAAAAGCCUACCAAAGCGACGAUCGGUAGCCGGACUGAGAGGUCGGGCGGCCACAUUGGGACUGAGGCACGGCCCAAACUCCUACGGGAGGCAGCAGUGGGGGAUAGUGCACAAUGGAGGAAACUCUGAUGCAGCGACGCCGCGUGAGUGAAGAAGUAUUUCGGUAUGUAAAGCUCUAUCAGCAGGGAAGAUGAUGACGGUACCUGAAUAAGAAGCCCCGGCUAACUACGUG
RNAcentral lists this ribosomal RNA (481 nucleotides) under uncultured bacterium. RNAcentral's name for it is "partial 16S ribosomal RNA". It matches the Rfam family "Bacterial small subunit ribosomal RNA", at positions 28 to 507 of the family's 1533-position model. The record is from RNAcentral.